GGCCGCAGUAUUUUAACUGUGCAAAGGUAGCAUAAUCAUUAGUCUUUUAAUUGAAGGCUGGUAUGAAUGGUUGGACGAAAUAUAAACUGUUUCAUAAUAAUUUAUAAUAAAAUUUUAUUUUUUAGUUAAAAAGCUAAAAUUGAUUUAAAAGACGAGAAGACCCUAUAAAUCUUUAUAUUUAAUAUUAUUAUUAAUUUUUAGAAAUUUUUAUUUAUAAUAAUUUUAAAUAUUUUGUUGGGGUGAUAUUAAAAUUUAAUUAACUUUUAAUUAUAUAUACACACAUUAAUUUAUGAAUAAAUGAUCCAUUAUUAAUGAUUAAAAAUUUAAGUUACUUUAGGGAUAACAGCGUAAUUUUUUUGGAGAGUUCUUAUUGAUAAAAAAGAUUGCGACCUCGAUGUUGGAUU
Molecule: ribosomal RNA, 404 nt
Filed under: Medina sp. Med_24022006
Lineage: Eukaryota; Metazoa; Arthropoda; Insecta; Diptera; Tachinidae
Description: partial 16S rRNA
Source: RNAcentral